GUCAGGAUGUCAGAGCGGUCAAAGGCGCCAGACUCAAGUUUCCAAACUUGCUUUUCUAUUGCGCAGCCAAUGGGCGUUCUGGUCCACUAAUGUGGGCGUCGGUUCGAAUCCCACUCCUGAAA
Paramuricea clavata is the source of this 122-nucleotide non-coding RNA. The record is from the annotation of a GenBank genome assembly. NCBI's taxonomy places the organism in Eukaryota, Metazoa, Cnidaria, Anthozoa, Malacalcyonacea, Plexauridae.